This 458-nucleotide small RNA is filed under the name Pongo abelii (Sumatran orangutan). RNAcentral's name for it is "processed transcript". Lineage: Eukaryota; Metazoa; Chordata; Mammalia; Primates; Hominidae. The record is from RNAcentral.
CAGGCAUCUACCUGGCCCCUUCCCCCCAACUGCCAGGGCUUCUUGAGCUGCUGGCCCUGGGGCAUUGAGCCUCAGGACGCCCUCGGGCUCAAGGGGCCCUCCUGGUGCGCUCUUCUUCCCAGGGGAGCGGGACUACGGCCCCCCCAUUGACCUGUGGGGUGCUGGGUGCAUCAUGGCAGAGAUGUGGACCCGCAGCCCCAUCAUGCAGGGCAACACGGAGCAGCACCAACUCGCCCUCAUCAGUCAGCUCUGCGGCUCCAUCACUCCUGAGGUGUGGCCAAACGUGGACAACUAUGAGCUGUAUGAAAAGCUGGAGCUGGUCAAGGGCCAGAAGCGGAAGGUGAAGGACAGGCUGAAGGCCUAUGUGCGUGACCCAUACGCACUGGACCUCAUCGACAAGCUGCUGGUGCUGGACCCUGCCCAGCGCAUCGACAGCGAUGACGCCCUCAACCACGACU